GCCUUUGUGGUAUAAUUGGAAGCACACUCGACGCGUAUUCGAGAGGUCCAGGGUUCGAGUCCCAGCGAGGCG
This 72-nucleotide transfer RNA is filed under the name Stegodyphus mimosarum. It matches the Rfam family "tRNA". Rfam says of the family: Transfer RNA (tRNA) molecules are approximately 80 nucleotides in length. Their secondary structure includes four short double-helical elements and three loops (D, anti-codon, and T loops). Lineage: Eukaryota; Metazoa; Arthropoda; Arachnida; Araneae; Eresidae. The record is from Rfam by way of RNAcentral.